AGUGGGGAAUAUUGCACAAUGGGCGGAAGCCUGAUGCAGCAACGCCGCGUGAGGGAUGACGGCCUUCGGGUUGUAAACCUCUUUUAGCAAGGAAGAAGCGGAAGUGACGGUACUUGCAGAAAAAGCGCCGGCUAACUACGUGCCAGCAGCCGCGGUAAUACGUAGGGCGCAAGCGUUAUCCGGAAUUAUUGGGCGUAAAGAGCUCGUAGGCGGUUUGUCGCGUCUGCUGUGAAAUCCCGAGGCUCAACCUCGGGCCUGCAGUGGGUACGGGCAGACUAGAGUGCGGUAGGGGAGAUUGGAAUUCCUGGUGUAGCGGUGGAAUGCGCAGAUAUCAGGAGGAACACCGAUGGCGAAGGCAGAUCUCUGGGCCGUAACUGACGCUGAGGAGCGAAAGGGUGGGGAGCAAA
This 407-nucleotide ribosomal RNA is filed under the name uncultured Microbacterium sp. RNAcentral's name for it is "bacterial SSU rRNA". It matches the Rfam family "Bacterial small subunit ribosomal RNA", at positions 353 to 772 of the family's 1533-position model. Lineage: Bacteria; Bacillati; Actinomycetota; Actinomycetes; Micrococcales; Microbacteriaceae. The record is from RNAcentral.